RNAcentral lists this ribosomal RNA (301 nucleotides) under uncultured bacterium. RNAcentral's name for it is "partial 16S ribosomal RNA". It matches the Rfam family "Bacterial small subunit ribosomal RNA", at positions 509 to 807 of the family's 1533-position model. The record is from RNAcentral.
CAGCAGCCACGGUAAAACGUAGGGUGCAAGCGUUAAUCGGAAUUACUGGGCGUAAAGCGUGCGCAGGCGGUUAUAUAAGACAGAUGUGAAAUCCCCGGGCUCAACCUGGGAACUGCAUUUGUGACUGUAUAGCUAGAGUACGGCAGAGGGGGAUGGAAUUCCGCGUGUAGCAGUGAAAUGCGUAGAUAUGCGGAGGAACACCGAUGGCGAAGGCAAUCCCCUGGGCCUGUACUGACGCUCAUGCACGAAAGCGUGGGGAGCAAACAGGAUUAGAUACCCCUGUAGUCCCUGUCUCUUAUAC